This 408-nucleotide ribosomal RNA is filed under the name uncultured bacterium. Its description in RNAcentral is "partial 16S ribosomal RNA". It matches the Rfam family "Bacterial small subunit ribosomal RNA", at positions 28 to 526 of the family's 1533-position model. The record is from RNAcentral.
GACGAACGCUGGCGGCGGGCUUAACACAUGCAAGUCGAACGAAGUGGCGAACGGGUGAGUAAUACGUGGGUAACCUGCCCUCCUUUUUGGGAUAAGCCUUGGAAACGGGGUCUAAUACCGAAUAAAGGGGGUUGGGCUCGCGGCCUAUCAGCAUGUUGGUGGGGUGAUGGCCUACCAAGGCGGUGACGGGUAGCCGGCCUGAGAGGGUGACCGGCCACAUGGGAACUGAGAUACUGCCCAGAGUCCUACGGGAGGCAGCAGUUGUGGAUAUUGCUCAAUGGGCGAAAGCCUGAUGCAGCGACGCCGCGUGGGGGAUGAAGGCUUUCGGGUUGUAAACCUCUUGCGCUAUCGAUGGGGUAGGUGGAGAAGAAGCGCCGGCUAACUACGUGCCAGCAGCCGCGGUAAUAC